AUUGAACGCUGGCGGCAGGCCUAACACAUGCAAGUCGAGCGGAUGAAGGGAGCUUGCUCCUGGAUUCAGCGGCGGACGGGUGAGUAAUGCCUAGGAAUCUGCCUGGUCGUGGGGGAUAACGUCCGGAAACGGGCGCUAAUACCGCAUACGUCCUGAGUGAGAAAGUGGGGGAUCUUCGGACCUCACGCUAUCAGAUGAGCCUAGGUCGGAUUAGCUAGUUGGUGGGGUAAAGGCCUACCAAGGCGACGAUCCGUAACUGGUCUGAGAGGAUGAUCAGUCACACUGGAACUGAGACACGGUCCAGACUCCUACGGGAGGCAGCAGUGGGGAAUAUUGGACAAUGGGCGAAAGACUGAUCCAGCCAUGGCGCGUGUGUGAAGAAGGUCUUCGGAUUGUAAAGCACUUUAAGUGGGGAGGAAGGGCAGUAAGUUAAUACCUUGCUGUUUUGACGUUACCAACAGAAGAAGCACCGGCUAACUUCGUG
RNAcentral lists this ribosomal RNA (484 nucleotides) under uncultured bacterium. Its description in RNAcentral is "partial 16S ribosomal RNA". It matches the Rfam family "Bacterial small subunit ribosomal RNA", at positions 30 to 507 of the family's 1533-position model. The record is from RNAcentral.